Molecule: unclassified non-coding RNA, 377 nt
Filed under: uncultured Acidimicrobiia bacterium
Lineage: Bacteria; Bacillati; Actinomycetota; Acidimicrobiia
Description: contains 16S-23S intergenic spacer region
Source: RNAcentral
UCCGAGUUGACCCCGGCGGUCUCCUGUGAGUCCCCGGCGUUAUCCGCUGGCAACAUAGGACAAGGGUUGCGCUCGUUGCGGGACUUAACCCAACAUCUCACGACACGAGCUGACGACAGCCAUGCACCACCUGUGCAAGGCCCCGAAGGACACCGUAUCUCUACGGCUUUUCCCUGCAUGUCAAGCCCAGGUAAGGUUCUUCGCGUCGCAUCGAAUUAAGCAACACGCUCCGCUGCUUGUGCGGGGCCCCGUCAAUUCCUUUGAGUUUUAGCCUUGCGGCCGUACUCCCCAGGCGGGGUACUUAAUGCGUUAGCUUCGGCACGGAAUCCGUUGAUAAGACCCCACACCUAGUACCCAACGUUUACGGCGUGGACUAC